GCCACAGCCAUAUCACCCUGCAGCCCAAGACCGCUUACUCACUGAAGCCAAGCAGAGCUGAGCCUGUUCAGUACUUGGAUGGGAGACCACAUGGGAAAACUAGGUUGCUGAUGGAA
Ribosomal RNA from Danio rerio (zebrafish), 116 nucleotides. NCBI's taxonomy places the organism in Eukaryota, Metazoa, Chordata, Actinopteri, Cypriniformes, Danionidae. The record is from Ensembl.